UACGAAGGGGGCUAGCGUUGUUCGGAAUUACUGGGCGUAAAGGGCGCGUAGGCGGCUGCGCAAGUCGGUUGUGAAACCCCGGGGCUCAACCCCGGAACUGCAUCCGAUACUGCGUGGCUAGAGGUAGGUAGGGGAGAUCGGAAUUCCUGGUGUAGCGGUGAAAUGCGCAGAUAUCAGGAGGAACACCGGUGGCGAAGGCGGAUCUCUGGGCCUUACCUGACGCUCAGGCACGAAAGCUAGGGGAGCGAACAGG
This 253-nucleotide ribosomal RNA is filed under the name uncultured bacterium. RNAcentral describes it as "partial 16S ribosomal RNA". It matches the Rfam family "Bacterial small subunit ribosomal RNA", at positions 524 to 776 of the family's 1533-position model. The record is from RNAcentral.